RNAcentral lists this ribosomal RNA (252 nucleotides) under uncultured bacterium. Its description in RNAcentral is "partial 16S ribosomal RNA". It matches the Rfam family "Bacterial small subunit ribosomal RNA", at positions 524 to 776 of the family's 1533-position model. The record is from RNAcentral.
GACGGGGGGGCAAGUGUUCUUCGGAAUGACUGGGCGUAAAGGGCGCGUAGGCGGCGUGACAAGUCACUUGUGAAAUCUCCGGGCUUAACUCGGAACGGCCAAGUGAAACUGUCAUGCUAGAGUGCAGAAGGGGCAAUCGGAAUUCUUGGUGUAGCGGUGAAAUGCGUAGAUAUCAAGAGGAACACCUGAGGUGAAGACGGGUUGCUGGGCUGACACUGACGCUGAGGCGCGAAAGCCAGGGGAGCAAACGGG